This 865-nucleotide long non-coding RNA is filed under the name Ananas comosus (pineapple). RNAcentral describes it as "long non-coding RNA (ACOM_LNC016847)". The record is from RNAcentral. Lineage: Eukaryota; Viridiplantae; Streptophyta; Magnoliopsida; Poales; Bromeliaceae.
UAUAAGAAAAAUGCCAGUCAUACACUCCAUUUGGGGUGUUUACCUUACACCUUACCAAUCCUAUAUAUAGGGUCUGUUUGUUUGGGUGAAAGUAGAAAGGGUGAUGUAGUUUUUGGUCGUAAACGAUCAGUUUUGCUGUUUGUUUGAUCGUAAUAAUUAAAGAUAUGGUCGAAACUCAAGUUAUCCAAAACAACAUAAUUGACUUCGGCCCACGCGGGCCGAAGUCAAUUAUGUGAAGAAAGGUGAAGGAAAAAAAUAAAAUAAUAAUAAGUAAUAGUAGUUAUAUUUAAAUAUAUUUAAUUAGGGCAUUAAUUACUUUUUUUAUUUAGUUUGCAUAUUAAAAUAUGAUAAAAUUUGAUUAGUUAAGUUUUAUUAUUUUCUUUAUUUAGUUUAGACAUUUAAAAUAUGAUAAAAAUUGAUUAGUUAAGUAUUUAUAUAUUUUCUUACUUCAUAAUUUUAUUGUUGUAUUAUUAUAAUUUAUGUAUUAAAAAAUAAUUUAGUUGUUUUAAAUUAAAAUUUUUAAUUUUAUACAUAAUUAUAUUAGUUUUAUUUAUUAUAUUUAAAAUUUAUUAUUUAUUAAGUUAUUUAUUAUUUAUAUAUAAAUUAUAGUUUUAUAUUAUUUACUUUCUGCCAAACAAACAAUAAAACUGAAGAAACUUCACUUCCAUAACUAUAAAACAAAUUAACAGCAAAAGAGAAGUAGCUUUAAUCGAACUCCAUUUCAACCCAAAGUCAAUUUUGGUAAAACAAAUAGGCCCAGAGGCAAGGUGUUUCCACCAUCUCAUCGAUGUGACUGGUAGAAAAAUUUCACCUAUUGGAAAGAUAAGAUGUAUAAUUUAUAUAUAUAUAUUUUUUACAUAUAUGA